This is a non-coding RNA of Paramisgurnus dabryanus, 395 nucleotides long. The record is from RefSeq and is a predicted model, not a curated record. NCBI's taxonomy places the organism in Eukaryota, Metazoa, Chordata, Actinopteri, Cypriniformes, Cobitidae.
GCAGCAUUGUGCAACACUUACGGCCAUCAGCAACCUUAGGCCCUGCAGAACAUCAUGGGCAGCUAGAGGAGAUCAUCCCCUCCAAGAACAGCUGAUCAGCUAUGUCCUGGAUGAGCGUAGGCCUGUCAAAGAAAUACUUAUUAAAGAUGGUCCCACGUGUUUGACCAGGGCGAAUCUGAUAACUUUAGGGCUAAACCGAUUUAUGGACUCAAUGGUGGGAAAUGCCUGUUUGAGGCUUGUGAAGGAGAUGGUCGAUUUACAGGUAUGUAUAUUUUAGUGGGACCUAUCUGAGUUCUUUGUAGUACAACGAAGAAAGUAAGUCAAAUGUCUUUCUGUAGGGGAAAAUGUCUUUAUUAUCAGCCUCCACAUCCCCCCAACAUGGCUCCCACCCUUGA